CACAAUAAGCUUGUUUGACAGAUCAUUGCCAAGAAACAUCAUGUGAACGCCCACCAUACCUCUGCAACAAUAUUACACUAUGAACAAUCACAGACGUUGGAAGCUCCCACAUCAUGCGGUUUUAACCCGGUCAUGUCAAGAAACUUCAGUAGUUGUCCCGGGAUUGUGCAUCCUUGGGCCCUCCCUGCCCUCUUGGGGAAUAUAUCGCCGAUGAAGCUGGCAUCAUGCCUUGGUUUGCAGCAGGGCCCUGGUGUUGUUUUUUCUGCACCACAAAAUUAAAUGGCUCAUCAUGCUUCCAGUGUUAUAACGGCAGAUGGUUUCAUACCACGGAGAAGGGCGGAAACCAUACACUAGCAGGGGAUUUUAAUGAUGAGGCAUCGUCCACAGCUACAGCUGCAUGGUCCGGCGAUUGAUGGAACAGUAGAAGAGCUAUAGACCGGUCAAUCGGGUUGGUCUGUGUCUCAAUGCUCUGAGGAUCAGCAA
RNAcentral lists this long non-coding RNA (483 nucleotides) under Setaria viridis. RNAcentral's name for it is "long non-coding RNA (SVIR_LNC011244)". The record is from RNAcentral. Lineage: Eukaryota; Viridiplantae; Streptophyta; Magnoliopsida; Poales; Poaceae.